Molecule: microRNA precursor, 134 nt
Filed under: Gossypium arboreum
Lineage: Eukaryota; Viridiplantae; Streptophyta; Magnoliopsida; Malvales; Malvaceae
Description: MIR7502 microRNA precursor family
Rfam family: MIR7502 microRNA precursor family
Source: Rfam by way of RNAcentral
UGUUAAAAUUUCAUCCAUUUGUACUGUUUAAAACUGGUGUGACUGACAGAAUAUCCAAAAAAAAUGUCAAGUGUAUCUUACAUUGAUGUAUAAGAACUAUUUUUUAAGAGUAGAAGUGGAUGAAAUUUUUAACU